AAGAUUUGAGAAUAUUGAAACAUAUUGAUGAAUCUUAUAAAAUUUUGAAGCAUAAACUGCUUUUUAAGAACCAUUCAUUAAAAGUAUUCCUAUUGGGUCAUACAGAGCAGUUCUGCUGCUAAUGACAUCAUCAAUUAUUAUUUCACAUGAGAAAUACUUUUUGUAGUUUGGCAUUUAAAUCUGAAAGUAUUGAUGAUGUCUAUCCAGGAAGUUCAGACUAAUUUAACAGAAUUAUGGAUGUCUCUGCUAUUUAUUAUUUUAGAUACUUGGGGGAUCCAUUGUGUAUUAUUUGUAUUUAUGAAAUUCUUUAAUCUUUUGGGAGCAUAACAGAGCUGGGUUACACUUCUGUCUUAGUUCAUUCAGGCUGCGUUAACAAAAUACCAUAAACUGUUCAGCCUACAAACAAGAGAAACUUAUUUCUUAUGGUCUGAAAGCUGCAAAGUCCAAGAUCUAGGCACUGACAAAUUCAUUGCCUGGAGAGGGCACACUUCCUAGUUCAUAGAUGUGUCCUCCCCUGACAGAUGGAAUACAUAGUGCUCUAUGGCCUUCUUCAAGGGCAUUAAACCUGUAAACCUGGUAAUGAGGGCAGAACCUCAUGACAGGGUCGGCAUCCCAUAUGGGCACCAGUUCUAGUCCCAGCUGUUCCACUUCUUCUCUUUUUUUUUUGACAGGCAGAGUGGACAGUGAGAGAGAGAGAGACAGAGAGAAAGGUCUUCCUUUGCCGUUGCUUCACCCUCCAAUGGCCGCCGCAGCCGGCACGCUGCGCCUGGCGCACCACGCUAAUCCAAUGGCAGGAGCCAGGUGCUUCUCCUGGUCUCCCAUGGGGUGCAGGGCCCAAGCACUUGGGCCUCUCUCCACUGCACUCCCUGGCCACAGCAGAGAGCUGGCCUGGAAGAGGGGCAACCGGGACAGAAUCCGGUGCCCUGACCGGGACUAGAACCUGGUGUGCUGGCGCCGCAAGGCGGAGGAUUAGCCUAGUGAGCCACGGCGCUGGCCUGCUCCACUUCUGAUCUAGCUCUCUGCUAUGGCCUGGGAAAGCAGUGGAAGAUGGCCCAUGUCCUUGGGCCCCUGCACCCACAUGGGAGAACCAGAAGAAGUUCCUGGCUCCUGGCUUCAGAUCAGCGCAGCUCCGUCAGUUGUAGCCAUCUGGGCACUGAACCAAUGGAUGGAAGACCUCUCUCUCUCUCUCUGCCUCUGCCUCUCUGUAAUUCUGCCUUUCAAAUAACAUGUUGGCCUCUCAAAGUGCUGGACUUGUGCUGGACACAUCAGCCCAUGGACACUGACUGGGAAGAAUGAUUAUCAAAUCUACCAGUUUAUGUAUUAAAUUAAUAAUUUGAACUCUCCUUGAGAGACUAAUGGGGAAAGCUGCAGUUACCUGAAUACCUAGAAGAACAUCUAGGAUCACAUACAUGCAUGAACACACACACACAUUUGUAUACAGGUACAGGAAAAAACAGACAUAGGUGGUCUCAACUGUUAAUAUUUGAUUUUUACCACUGGAAUUAGAUAUAUUAAAAUGAAAGUAAGUGGAAUUAAAAUUUCCAAAUCCUCUGGGGAAAAUUCAUUUAUAACAAUGAAAACAGAUAUUCAGAAAAGAUCUAGAAGAUGACCCCUGAACCUAAAAAGCAAAACAAAAUGAAGCAAAAAUUGUCCUUAUUCUCAACAAAAUCCUUUGAAUCAGGUGCUUUUAUCAAACAAACCAUGUAUAACUAAGUAUUUCAGUGUCUCAGGAUUCAGAAAACAUACAUAUUUUUAAAAAUGCCUCUAAUUUACUGAUCUUAUGGCUCAGUUGUUUAUUUGUGUGUGUGUGUGUGUGUGUGCGUGUUUCUGCAUUUUGCUACCACUUAAUUCUGUAGAUAAGUUCCAUAGAAACAUAAAAUAUGUUCACUUAGUUCAUAAAUUUCUUGAAGCAUGGUGUCUAACUAACUCUAUCCUUGGCAGAAAUAAUUUCCCGUUUUAAAAGAAACUAACUUAAAAUGUCUUAUAAGGAAGGUUCACACGGCUUCUUGGAAAUCAAGCCGUUCUUACAAAACAUUUUGAUGUGUUUAGUACAGAGGAAUUAGGAACAUAUGGAUUACAUUUUCCUUAAAAUGCACAUGGUUUUAAAAAUUAAGGGGUAAUGUUCUUGGCAAAAUAGGUUUUGCCAAACCCAAACUGUUUAAAAAAUUGUUCAAGAUGUUCAGUAAGGCCAAAAGGCCCCAGGCUUCCACAGUCCUAAUAAUAGAAUCAAUCAGGAAAACCAGAAUGAAGUCACUAAACUCAUUUUAACAGUCUCUUGAAAUAACCAACCAAAAUAAAUCUCCGCGUAGUAACAAUCACAAGCAAUUAGAAUAUAAUAACUUUUAUGUUCAUACUGAAUAAAAACCCCAAGCUAGUAGUUAAAAUCAUUCUAGGAAUUCUGGAAAGUUGGCAGUGCAUUUUGUUUGACUGAAAUAAUUGAUUACAUCUACGAAAAUGACAGAGAGACCAGAAGGGAUUGCACAGAUAAAGUACUUACCAGGAACAAUUCAAAAGUUUUACCGUGGUUUCUCAUGGAAGGAGGUGGGUGUGUUUGAAACCUAGACAAAGAAGACAGAGGCAGAGGCGAUGAUCACAAACAUUUUGCUAACCUGGUAUUGAGACCACUUGUCUUUUCUGGAAGAGAGUCUGUUAAAUCACUUAGUAAUGUUCCCACAAUGAUGAGAUGGGACUAUCAGGAACGUCAGACCAGAGACUGUAUGUUUAUGGCAAGGAUCAAUUGAGUCUAAGAUCAGCUGUCAGAAAGCAAACCCAGGAAGAAUCCUAUUUCUGUUUUCAGUAUUUGAUUCUCAAAACCUACUUAUUUUGAAAUGCCAUCAUGGUUUUGCACAUAGUAGCGAUCUGAUAAAAAUUUAUUGAUUAGAUCAUUUUUUUUCAUAUGAACACAUCUUCAUAUUCUUUCUUAAGGUCUUCAUUUUUCUAUUUAUUUAUUUGAAAAGUAGAAAAAAAGGAGAAUAAAAGAGAACUCCCAUUCACUCUCCAAAUGCCCCAAGCCAAAGCCAGGAGCCAGGAACUCCAUCUGUGUCUCUCACAUGGGUGGCAGGGACCCAAGUACUUGGGCUGUCAUCCAUUGCUUUCCCAGGUGCAUUAGCAGGGAGCUGGAUUGGAAGCUGGAAAGCUGGGAUUCCAACCAGCACACUGAUACAAGAUGCUGGCCUAAAAAGUGAUGGUUUAAGCUGUUCCUCCACAAUGUCGACCUGUUAUUUUUCUCUUCUUGGCUUGUCUCUGGGCAUUCUGAAUAAACUGUUAGAGUUUCUUAUGCUGGUUGAUUCCUUGAUGUUUUAAGAAAAAUUGCUGCAGGGCCUUUUUUUUUUUCUGAUUUAGACUUUAUAUAAUCAUUUACAGCUACAGUGGUCGAACGUUAUGUUUACUACUUGAACCCAUAGCAGAAGGGAUUUCGAAUCCUUCCAGUUUCCUCCUCUCCCCUCCAAAUUCAUGUCAUUCUUUUCUGCUGAAUGGAGUAUUAAUUACUGGACAGCUUGGGAACCAGGCAGGUCCUGUCAGCAGACUUUAACAUGGGCUGUAGAGUUUGUACAGAGCAAAGCACUCAUUGAAAGACUCCGUGUUGCCCAUCCUGAUCCUGCUGACUCCCUAACAAAUGACAUGUUUUGAAAGGAGAUGGGGAUAAUGUGUUUUAAGUCACAGAGGAGGGUUUUGAGGUAUAUCUUGGUUGUGCAUCAGGGGCUGUGGUUGCAAGCAUCAUCGGUGUAUUAAGGGUGGGAUGUGUUACACUAAUCUGCAUCCAGAUCUGGGUCUUCAGGGAGUUGCAUGAGUGCAUGUGAGUGUGUGAAGUUGGCUUUAUCAGAAUUCCUAGAUCAGUGGUGUAGACGAAGGAGAUUAUUUCAAAGGCACUACGAGGGUAUUAAGGCUAUGAAUUAGUUACUAAAAGAUUCAACUGGAGUGAUACAGUUCAGCUGACUAAAAAUUUCAAAUGGGAGUCAGCUUUCCUAUAGUAAAGGAAAAAUAUUUUAAAUAGAAUACUUCCAGAAGUCCUCUGACAGCAUAAACCCAGAUUGCCUGUUUUCUUAUUUUUUUCUCAUGCUCUGCUGGUUUCCACUUGGAGCAUAUAGCUCCCGACACUGAUCAGUUUUCUUUUUGCUUAUUAUAGUUCUGUCUGUCCCAUCCUAUCCUGACAAAUUCUAGUUGUAACUUCCUAAAAUAAUUUUAUGAGCACAAAUGAAUAUUCAUCCACUGUUUGAAAAACACUCUCUGUGACAUUUUCCUUAGUGAUUUUCUUGAUCAGCACACUUGUUUAAACUUAAGAAAUAUUUUUCAUUCUUAAAACUUGUUUUGUAUAAACCAGUAUACUACAAUAAUCAUUGAAUUUGUCCACCUGUCCCCAGUUAGAGUACAAAUCACUUGAAGGAGGAGCCUGUAUAUUAUUCAUUUCUUUACAUGACUUGCAAUAUCUAAUAUAACACAUAGCACAUGGAUGAAUAUUUGUUGUGUUAAGCAAUUGUUUAUAUACAAUAUAUGGACAUAAACCUUACUGGAGAGGGAAAUGAAAGAAUAGGAGAUUUAGGAAAUCUUGAAGAGCCUUUGUGUUGUCAUACAAAUAUUUAUUGAAACUGUUCCUAUUAUGCAUAAUAAGACUGUCUCUUGACAAAGUUCUGCUUCUCUCUUGAGUAUGGAUCCUUAUCAACUCAAGUGUUUAAGAUACAUAAUUUUCUGUCUCUCUCACUGUCUAUAACUCUGUCAAAUAAAAAAAGUUACAUAAUUUUCUUUAUAUUCUACAAGUGCAUUUAGUUCCUUUUGUGCUUUAAUUUCAAUGGGACGACAGAUGCCUAAUCCCAGUUAACAUGGGAUUUCUGUACACUGUUUUCCUUGGAGUUGUAUCUAUUUCUGGUGAUCCUAAAUAGUGCUGUGACUGUGAGUGGAAUUGGCACUUGGUUAAGGGAGACCACUGCGAGACAAUUGUUUUUUUGUCCACAGCAUCUCAUCAGAUUCUCUGCUUUUCCUCCUAAGUCCAUGCCACCUUUUAGCGUCAGCUGUUUAUUCCGUUGUUCCCUCCCCCCAUGCCAGGUCACAGAAAUCUCUAGGAGACUGACCAGAUGGCUUCUUGCUUGGUUUGUUAGACUGCCCCCUCAUGGGAAUGGGUGCUCUGACAAUUCCCUUCUGAACUCUGAAGCGUCGAAUGUUAUUAUUUGAGAAUUUGGGGUCAGAGUGUGGUCUUAUUCUCCUCAAGGCCUCCAUAGCGAUUUACAGUGUUUAUUCUUAGGGUCCUUGAUGUAUGUCUCAGUACUAUAUAAAAAGAUGAGAGCCAAGAAGUGAGGUGUGGAACUUACACUUAAUGGUGGAAAUUCCUGAAUAGGAGUGCAGAAGGGUAGGUUAGGCUGGUACACUAUUCUGAAAGGACUUGAUUGAUAUCUCUAAACCAGUUUUCUCUGUCAAAUUUAAGGAAGAGAAAUAAGAGGUUUACUCAAGCUAUGCAAAACCAUGGAGCCAGAAUAAAUAGAGUGUCCCAGGAGAGUUAAAGGAACUGAAGGGAUCACUGGCUUGAAAGAGAAAUUUAUACUGGAAAUAUCCCCAGGACCCAGGUAACAAAGGAAAGGAAAGUGACUUGGAUACUCUAAGGACAGAUUAAAUAUUCUAAGAAAAGCAGUGGCUACCAGGAGAACCAAGCUUAAGAGGUGACCCAGAGCUCACUGGAUUCUUGGAAAGAAGUGAGGGUGCAUUUACAGCCAGUGUAUUGAAGAUUUAUUCAAUGUAAAAGAAGUUCACUUUGUAAUCAAAUAUUUGACAUAUAUGAACACUGAGACUAUAACUGAGAUUUUGUGUUUAGAAAAUCAUGACCAGAAAUCCCUUGUCCUUGUGAUUAAGUUUGGUUAUUCAUUAAAAACAAUUAUCUGUUGCACAUACUUAAUUGCACAUACAGUUUUUAAGUGCUGAGUGGUUGUCUGAAAGGAAACCACAACAGAUAGCACCUUGGAGCUCUCAUGCAGCCUGCAUGUGUUACUGAUCUCUAUGGCAUUCUUUUGCCUUUGUAAAUUAAUUUCUGCCUUUCUGAACCUCAUGGUAAGAUUUCAGAAGAGAUAUUGUACCCAGGUUUGGAUCUUGGUCAUGAUGAUGGUGAUUAAGUGCAAAAUACCCUGGAUUGAUGCUUAAGUAGGAAAUACUCCUGAUGGAGUGCUUUCUGGGAACCAGUCCAAUUUUUGGUGUACAACUUAAAACAUCUACCUGCUUUCUUAUUUGAACUUUUCAUUUAAAAAAAGAUAUUUUUAUUUUAUUUGAAAGGCGGAGAGGCAGGAAGAGGUCUUCCAAACACUGACUCACUUCUCAAAUGCUUGCAACAACCAGGGCAAGCCUCUGUAUAAACCAGGAGCCCACAACUCAAUGUGAGUUUCCUACAUGGCUGAGAGGGACCCAAGCACCUGAGCUGUCACCUGCUGCUUCCAGGAUGUACCAUAGCAGGAAGCUGAAUUGGAAGUGGAGGAGUCACGACAUGAACCAGGGAUUCUGAUACAGGAUGCAGAAUCGCCAAGUGGUGAUGAUUGUUGAGUUGAGAUAUGUCUACACUUGAAAGAGGCAUAUAAAUAUAAGGAAUGAACUCCAAGGGCAGGAUGGGGCACAGAAUGGGACCUGAACAAACAUUUCUCCAAAGAGACUACACAGAUAACCAGCAUUAUCAACAUCACUAAUCAACAUGGAAUUGCACAGCAAAACCACAAUGAAAUAUCACCUCACACCUGUCUGGAUGAUUAUUUCCAAAAAACCCAAAGACAGCAAGAAAUGAUGAGGAUGUGAAGAAACUGGAAUCCUCGCAUGAUGCUGGUAGAAAUGCAAAAUGGUACAGCUGCUAUGGAAAACAGGAAAGGAUUUAAAGGACUGUUUGUCUACACCAAAUUGCUGAAUAUUCUCAUAUUACUGGAUCUGCAUGGGGAAUGGGAGAUGUGUGGUUUGUCUUUUCUGACACUGUUCCCACCAUUCCUUUCCAGGAACAGGGUGGGGUUGUUCAGACCUUUGCUCACAAAUGCUCACUCUCCCAACUGCAUCCAUGAAUGGAGCACACUUCCACUUCCCUUGGUGGUGUGACCUGGUUUAUCUCCAAACAGGGAGAGAGAGAGAGAAACAGACAGAAAGAUCUUCCAUCCACUGGUUCAUUCCCCAGUUGUCUGGAACAGCUGAGAAAGGCCAAGCUGAAGUCGGAACUCAAUCCAGAUCUCCCAGUUGGGAGGAAGAUGCUCGGUACGUGAGCCAUCACCCGCUACCUUCCAAGGUAUACAUCAACGGGAACCUGGAAUCAGAAAUGGAGCUGAAUUCAAACCCAGAUAAAGAAACGUCUUUUGCUGAGGCUUCUCUCUGCACGUGGUUCUCUCAACAACAUCCACAGAGACUGAAGAGACACAGAUGACAACAAGAAAAGAGAUUCUUGGAGGAAACCAAGGAAACACAGUAAAGAAUGACCAGGCAAUACUCUUUGAAAAUUGGAGACCAUUUGCAGCUGCUCUCUGUUGAGGAAAGUGAAUAAUAGGGUGCCCUCAAGGAAUUUCAAAGGUAUCACUCAACAGAAACUUUUGUGUCUGAAGAAAACUGGAUCAUUUUAUCAUGGUGGCUCCAAUGGCCAGGGUUUGAAUCAGGCCAAAUCCAGGAGUCAGGAGCUUCUUCCGGGUCUCCCACAUGGAUGGCAGGGACCUAUGCACUUGGGUGAUCUGCUUUUUGGACCUGGAUCAGAAGUGGAGCAGCCAGGACUUGAACAGUGACAGGUCAAACUCUUUGUUAAGAGAUACAUAAACAACAGUGUUUGUCUGAAGGAGACCCCAUUUGAAGAGAAAUCAGAUGGCAUCCAGAUAAGCAAGGCUGAUUCAACCUAGAAAGAAAUUUUCUACGAUGCACUAAGCCAGCUUCCUGGACAUAGGAGAAGGAACUGUGAACUUCGUGCCAUUCCAUCAUUUCUGUGAGUUGAAAUGAUCUACCAUAUAAUCAUUGGCUUAGAAAAUGAAAACACACAGAAAGGAGAAGUGAGAUAAAGGGAGGGAGACAAAGAAAAAAAUAAGAAAGAAAAUGACCAGAAAGCCAUAUUAUUCUGCUGUUUCUCUUGUGUAUGUUGACUGACAAUAUUUUGUUUGUAGUAACAGAGAUAUUGGGGUCAAAGUUCACAAAAAGCCAGAACAUUUUCAGAUUAAAAGUUAGAAUUUUAAUUUUCAGUUGACAGUUUCUGUUUGAAAGAUUUUUAGAUUGGCAUGUUAUAUAAU
This is a non-coding RNA of Oryctolagus cuniculus (rabbit), 8210 nucleotides long. The record is from RefSeq and is a predicted model, not a curated record. NCBI's taxonomy places the organism in Eukaryota, Metazoa, Chordata, Mammalia, Lagomorpha, Leporidae.